GAUGAACGCUGGCGGCGUGCUUAACACAUGCAAGUCGAACGGAAAGGCCCAAGCUUGCUUGGGUACUCGAGUGGCGAACGGGUGAGUAACACGUGGGUGAUCUGCCCUGCACUUCGGGAUAAGCCUGGGAAACUGGGUCUAAUACCGGAUAGGACCACAUUUUGGAUGGUGUGGUGGAAAGUUUUUCGGUGUGGGAUGAACUCGCGGCCUAUCAGCUUGUUGGUGGGGUAAUGGCCUACCAAGGCGUCGACGGGUAGCCGGCCUGAGAGGGUGUACGGCCACAUUGGGACUGAGAUACGGCCCAGACUCCUACGGGAGGCAGCAGUGGGGAAUAUUGCACAAUGGGCGCAAGCCUGAUGCAGCGACGCCGCGUGGGGGAUGACGGCCUUCGGGUUGUAAACUCCUUUCGCUAGGGACGAAGCGUUUUUGUGACGGUACCUGGAGAAGAAGCACCGGCUAACUACGUG
RNAcentral lists this ribosomal RNA (467 nucleotides) under uncultured bacterium. Its description in RNAcentral is "partial 16S ribosomal RNA". It matches the Rfam family "Bacterial small subunit ribosomal RNA", at positions 28 to 507 of the family's 1533-position model. The record is from RNAcentral.